UUGUGAGUGGUUUCGUUAACAAUUGAAGUAUAUUGCCAAAGCCUUCAACAAAUAAGACAAAUUUUUUUCAAAUCUAAAACGCAUUUUUUAAAGACAAAUAUUGUAUUGUGCAUGACCUGUCUCCACUUUGUUAAAUUUAAAACUCAUUUUAUAAACGAACUUAAGUCUAAGAAGAACGAAGUUCAAUUAGGCUCAGUUCCUUCAGUGUCCCACAAUAUUCGUUUUACGAUGAAAGUACAUAGUCCAUCUAUUAAUCCUUAGUUCUUACAGUAAUGAGUGUGCUUUUAUCCUUGCUUAUCUGAUAAUCUAGCUUUUGAU
This 318-nucleotide unclassified non-coding RNA is filed under the name Hevea brasiliensis (rubber tree). Lineage: Eukaryota; Viridiplantae; Streptophyta; Magnoliopsida; Malpighiales; Euphorbiaceae. The record is from RNAcentral.